ACACAAAAAAAAAACAAAUAUAAGCUGCGGGACGGGGUGUGUUAAAAGUCGGAAGACGCAUUGGCAGGGGGAGGGCAGAGGCAGGGCCGAGUGAAGCAGAAGCAAAGCUGCGGGACAGGGUGGGUUUAGCCACUGGAAAUUAAUUUCUCCAUUGUGGCUAUAAUAAUGAUCCGAUCGGAUCCCACUUUGGUGAUCUGAUAGAUAUGGCCAUUUCCUACGGAAUGGCGUUACUUUUCUUUUAUCUUCAAAACUGUAGAUUUGGGAGGUUUUCGCCCUUUUGCGGGGGUGGAAGGGGGCGUGGCUCAUUUUUUAAAUACACUGAUUUCAGUGUGAGCAUACAGCAGUCCGGAGUCAAAAUUUAGUGGCUCUAGCUCUUAUAGUCUCUGAGAACUAGCCGACAAACAAGACGGACAGACAGACAUGGCUCUAUCGACUCGUCUAUUGAUGCUGAUCAAGAAUAUAU
Molecule: long non-coding RNA, 463 nt
Filed under: Drosophila guanche
Lineage: Eukaryota; Metazoa; Arthropoda; Insecta; Diptera; Drosophilidae
Source: RNAcentral